CAUAAAAAUGGCAAGAAGGUACAGAUACCCGAAUUGCUGCUUCUAUUCAACGUGGAGGCUGCGUCUCAACAAGGUUCUCCCCAGGAAAAGCUCUGGCAGAGAUGGCAGGGAAAUCUAAGGCUGUCUGGGCUCCACCUCUACCCUCAUUCCUGCUCCACCUCUGAGCUGUAUCCUCAGCCUGAAAGAAGCUUCCCAGGUUUCACCUUCCCAACAGAGCUGAAUGAAGAAAACUCAGUGGCCAGGAGCUUUGAACUCACCAGGGAGAAGG
Molecule: long non-coding RNA, 268 nt
Organism: Tachyglossus aculeatus (Australian echidna)
Lineage: Eukaryota; Metazoa; Chordata; Mammalia; Monotremata; Tachyglossidae
Exons: 3
Source: RefSeq, a predicted model, not a curated record